Molecule: ribosomal RNA, 279 nt
Filed under: uncultured bacterium
Lineage: Bacteria
Description: partial 16S ribosomal RNA
Rfam family: Bacterial small subunit ribosomal RNA
Source: RNAcentral
UGCCAGCCGCCGCGGUAAUACGGAGGGUACGAACGUUAAUCGGAAUUACUGGGCGUAAAGCGCGCGUAGGCGGUUUGUUAAGUCGGAUGUGAAAGCCCUGGGCUCAACCUGGGAACUGCAUUCGAUACUGGCUGACUAGAGUGCGAGAGAGGGAGGUAGAAUUCCAUGUGUAGCGGUGAAAUGCGUAGAUAUGUGGAGGAAUACCGGUGGCGAAAGCGCUCUACUGGACCAUUACUGACACUCAGAGGCGAAAGCUAGGGUAGCAAAAGGGAUUAGAUA